This 817-nucleotide ribosomal RNA is filed under the name Sanguirana luzonensis (Luzon frog). Its description in RNAcentral is "partial 16S ribosomal RNA". The stretch from base 204 to 648 matches the Rfam family "Bacterial large subunit ribosomal RNA", at positions 619 to 1301 of the family's 2925-position model. The record is from RNAcentral. Lineage: Eukaryota; Metazoa; Chordata; Amphibia; Anura; Ranidae.
GCCUAACAUCUAGCCCACACUACCCUCAUGAACCUUUUCUACACCCUCCCGUACACAACAAAACAUUUUAUCUCUUUAGUACAGGCGAUCGAAAAACUUAUAGGCGCUUCAGAUUAAGUACCGCAAGGGAAAGAUGAAAUAAAAAUGAAAUAAUUUAAAGCCCUAAACAGCAGAGAUAUACCCUCGUACUUUUUGCAUCAUGGUCUAGCCAGUUUAACCAAGCAAAAUGUGAACUUUAGUUUGACACCCCGAAACUAAGUGAGCUACUUCAAAACAGCCCUAAGGGGCCAACCCGUCUCUGUUGCAAAAGAGUGGGAAGAUUUUCAAGUAGAGGUGACAAGCCUACCGAACUUAGAGAUAGCUGGUUAUUCAGGAGAAGAGUCUUAGCUCUGCCUUAAGUUUUCUUAUUAACUCAAACAAAUCUUUAAACUUAAGAGUUAUUCAAGUAAGGUUCAGCUUACUUGAAACAGGAUACAACCUCCAAUAUUGGGUAAAUAAGGGGAACCUAGAUAAAGUGGGCCUAAAAGCAGCCACCUUAUAAAAAGCGUUAAAGCUUAAUCACCAAUUCACCCAUAAUUCCUUGAUUCCUUAUUAACCCCUCAUCCCUACUGAAUCAUUUUAUAAUAUUAUAAAAAUUAUUAUGCUAGAACUUGUAACAAGAAACUGCCUUUCUCCUGAAUGUCAGCCAGAACCGAAAUAAACCCAAUCGGUAUUUAACGUAUAUGCUCUAACUAUAGUAACCCGCAACUAGAAAACCCUAUUAUUUUCAACGUCAACCUUACACUAGAACAUUACAGGAAAGAUAAAAGAAAGAGAA